Centropristis striata (black sea bass) is the source of this 378-nucleotide long non-coding RNA. RefSeq lists it as uncharacterized. The transcript is spliced from 3 exons. Lineage: Eukaryota; Metazoa; Chordata; Actinopteri; Perciformes; Serranidae. The record is from RefSeq and is a predicted model, not a curated record.
UAGUCGGAACUUUUGCCGGUGACAACAAACUGCCGAGAGGUUAUUUUCUAACUCGGACAGGAUUAAAACAGAACAAGAAAGGGUCAACAACUUUAUCAAUACUGGCAAUACAGCCGGUGGUGGACUUUAUUGAUGCUCUGGAGCAGUUUUUUUUCGAAAAGAAAAGGGCAAAAAGAAGACAGUCACAUAAGCUGGUCUUUUGUAGACUCUGAAGCCACACAGUAGCUGGUGUGAACCUUCUUAAAAGAUUAGACUACACCCUACUAACCACACCACGCUGAAAAGUCUCCAGCUGCAAUAAUCUUCACCAGCAGGAUAUAACAUGAAAACUUCAAUAGCUUGUAUUUUUGGAGACUGGCCUGGUAGUUAGCAUCGUGC